This is a small nucleolar RNA of Perca flavescens (yellow perch), 78 nucleotides long. RefSeq annotates it as small nucleolar RNA SNORD121A. The transcript has a single exon. The record is from RefSeq and is a predicted model, not a curated record. Lineage: Eukaryota; Metazoa; Chordata; Actinopteri; Perciformes; Percidae.
UGUCUGGAGAUAAUGAUGGUUACAAGCACAUAUCCUAAUCAUUUUAUGUGGAAAUAUAUUUCACUGAAUCUCCCGUCC